RNAcentral lists this ribosomal RNA (265 nucleotides) under uncultured bacterium. RNAcentral's name for it is "partial small subunit ribosomal RNA". It matches the Rfam family "Bacterial small subunit ribosomal RNA", at positions 26 to 290 of the family's 1533-position model. The record is from RNAcentral.
AGGACGAACGCUGGCGGCGUGCUUAACACAUGCAAGUCGAACGGUGACGCAGGAGCUUGCUCCUGUUGAUCAGUGGCGAACGGGUGAGUAACACGUGAGUAACCUGCCCCAGACUCUGGGAUAAGCCUUGGAAACGAGGUCUAAUACCGGAUACGAGAUGAGACCGCAUGGUCAUUAUCUGGAAAGUUUUUCGGCUGGGAUGGACUCGCGGCCUAUCAGCUAGUUGGUGAGGUAAUGGCUCACCAAGGCGACGACGGGUAGCCGG